This 253-nucleotide ribosomal RNA is filed under the name uncultured bacterium. Its description in RNAcentral is "partial 16S ribosomal RNA". It matches the Rfam family "Bacterial small subunit ribosomal RNA", at positions 524 to 776 of the family's 1533-position model. The record is from RNAcentral.
UACGUAGGGUGCAGGCGUUGUCCGGAAUUAUUGGGCGUAAAGAGCUCGUAGGCGGUUCGUCGCGUCGGCUGUGAAAUCCCGAGGCUCAACCUCGGGUCUGCAGUCGAUACGGGCGGACUGGAGUUCGGCAGGGGAGACUGGAAUUCCUGGUGUAGCGGUGAAAUGCGCAGAUAUCAGGAGGAACACCGGUGGCGAAGGCGGGUCUCUGGGCCGAUACUGACGCUGAGGAGCGAAAGCGUGGGGAGCGAACAGG